RNAcentral lists this ribosomal RNA (1289 nucleotides) under Laackmanniella prolongata. RNAcentral's name for it is "eukaryotic LSU rRNA". The stretch from base 494 to 1289 matches the Rfam family "Eukaryotic large subunit ribosomal RNA", at positions 1 to 841 of the family's 3401-position model. The record is from RNAcentral. Lineage: Eukaryota; Ciliophora; Spirotrichea; Tintinnida; Codonellopsidae.
GUCGUAACAAGGUUUCCGUAGGUGAACCUGCGGAAGGAUCAUUAACGCAUAUCCAAACCUACUCAACCAAGCCAACCUGUUGCGGAGCGCAAGCGACGCAGCUAACAACCUAACCAAAAGAAGCAUAACUAAGCUAAAAAACAAAAACAAAUCCUCGACGAUGGAUAUCUAGGUUCCUACGACGAUGAAGAACGCAGCGAAGUGCGAUAAGCAAUGCGAAUUGCAGAGCCGAGAGUCAUCAGAUUUUUGAACGCAACUGGCACCUGGGGGUACCCCCCCAGGUAUGCUUCCUUCAGUGUGUGAAUCUCUCAUCACCCAAACCAUAAUGCGAUAGAUGCCCUUCUAUUGCUAAACAUGAAAGCACUCUGUUCUCUGCAGCGGAGGUCCUCGGACUGACGCACUCAAUGCAGUAGUCACAUUCUCAAGUGUGAUCUCAUUGAGCGUGGAGGCAGCGCAUGUCUCAUGCCAGUGCUUAGACACUAAAAUUUUACAAGCAUCUGAAGUGAAGUAGGAGGACCCGCUGAACUUAAGCAUAUCAUUAAGCGGAGGAAAAGAAACUAACAAGGAUUCCCUCAGUACGGGCGACGGAAGCGGGAAAAGCCCACAGUGGUAAUCUCCGUGCGAGAGCGCGGCGAAUUGUAAUCUGAAGGUGGGCAGCCGAGCCAGCCGUCUAGACGCAGAAGUAUCGCUGAGGCGGUCGCCAAAGAGGGUGAGAGCCCCGUCUGCGGUGUCUGGGCAUGGCAGAGGCUGUUGGCCGAAGAGUCGUGUACUUUGAUACUAGUGCACAAAGCGGGAGAUAAACUUCUUCUAAGGCUAAAUAAACGUAGGAGACCGAUAGCGAACAAGUACUGUGAAGGAAAGAUGAAAAGCACUUUGGAAAGAGCGUCAAAAGACUUGAAAUCGUCGAGGCGGACCCGGUAGAAAGGAAUUCUGUGGAGGCCCCGGCGUAGCCUGCGAAAGCGGGCGAGUUGGGUCCCCAACGAGGCAAGAUGGAGUCGUCGGAUGCCAGAGGCCGUGCGUGAAGAGGCUUGCCUAGGCGCGUGCUGGUCGGGUGUGUGGCGGCUUGAGGGGCUUUGUGCGAUCUUGCCAAAAUGGUUUUUACCGACUCGUCUUGAAACACGAACCAAGGAGUCUAAGACUAACGCGAGUGUGGUGGUGGAGAAACCAACACGCGAAAUGAAAGUGAAUGAUGCCAAGCUUGCGCAGCAUCGACCGACUUUUGUCUACAGGCUAAGGUUUGAGUAAGAGCGUUAUUCUUAGGACCCGAAAGAUGGUGAACUAUGCGUGAA